AGAACGAACGCUGGCGGCAUGCCUAACACAUGCAAGUCGAACGAGACCUUCGGGUCUAGUGGCGCACGGGUGCGUAACGCGUGGGAAUCUGCCCUUGGGUUCGGAAUAACAGUUAGAAAUGACUGCUAAUACCGGAUGAUGACGAAAGUCCAAAGAUUUAUCGCCCAGGGAUGAGCCCGCGUAGGAUUAGCUAGUUGGUGAGGUAAAGGCUCACCAAGGCGACGAUCCUUAGCUGGUCUGAGAGGAUGAUCAGCCACACUGGGACUGAGACACGGCCCAGACUCCUACGGGAGGCAGCAGUGGGGAAUAUUGGACAAUGGGCGAAAGCCUGAUCCAGCAAUGCCGCGUGAGUGAUGAAGGCCUUAGGGUUGUAAAGCUCUUUUACCCGGGAUGAUAAUGACAGUACCGGAGAAUAAGCUCCGGACUAACUCCGUGCCAGCAGCCGC
RNAcentral lists this ribosomal RNA (446 nucleotides) under uncultured soil bacterium. RNAcentral's name for it is "bacterial SSU rRNA". It matches the Rfam family "Bacterial small subunit ribosomal RNA", at positions 26 to 518 of the family's 1533-position model. The record is from RNAcentral.